RNAcentral lists this ribosomal RNA (266 nucleotides) under uncultured bacterium. RNAcentral's name for it is "partial 16S ribosomal RNA". It matches the Rfam family "Bacterial small subunit ribosomal RNA", at positions 793 to 1055 of the family's 1533-position model. The record is from RNAcentral.
GUCCACGCCCUAAACUAUGUCAACUGGUUGUCGGGGGAGCAAUCCCUUGGUAACGAAGCUAACGCGUGAAGUUGACCGCCUGGGGAGUACGGCCGCAAGGUUAAAACUCAAAGGAAUUGACGGGGACCCCGCACAAGCGGUGGAUUAUGUGGAUUAAUUCGAUGCAACGCGAAAAACCUUACCUACCCUUGACAUGUACGGAAUCUCGCAGAGAUGUGAGAGUGCUCGAAAAGAGAACCGUAACACAGGUGCUGCAUGGCUGUCGU